This 432-nucleotide ribosomal RNA is filed under the name uncultured bacterium. Its description in RNAcentral is "bacterial SSU rRNA". It matches the Rfam family "Bacterial small subunit ribosomal RNA", at positions 957 to 1391 of the family's 1533-position model. The record is from RNAcentral.
GAACGCGAAGAACCUUACCCGGGCUCGAACGGCGGACGAAUAUGUUAGAGAGAGCAUAGUCGCAAGACAUCCGUCGAGGUGCUGCAUGGUUGUCGUCAGCUCGUGCCGUGAGGUGUCGGCUUAAGUGCCAUAACGAGCGCAACCCUUGCCGUCAGUUGCCAUCAGGAAAAGCUGGGGACUCUGUCGGGACUGCCACCGCAAGGUGUGAGGAAGGGGGGGAUGACGUCAAAUCAGCACGGCCCUUACGUCCGGGGCUACACACGUGUUACAAUGGCGACUACAGAGGGGAGCCACCCGGUGACGGGGCGCCGAUCUCCAAAAGUCGUCUCAGUUCGGACUGGAGUCUGCAACCCGACUCCACGAAGCUGGAUUCGCUAGUAAUCGCACAUCAGCCAUGGUGCGGUGAAUACGUUCCCGGGUCUUGUACACACC